This 90-nucleotide small RNA is filed under the name Salmonella enterica subsp. enterica serovar Reading. RNAcentral describes it as "partial RtT sRNA". It matches the Rfam family "RtT RNA", at positions 1 to 88 of the family's 130-position model. Rfam says of the family: This family represents a bacterial cis-regulatory element known as RtT RNA. The exact function of RtT is unknown although it is thought that it may be involved in changing the cellular response in relation to amino acid starvation. The record is from RNAcentral. Lineage: Bacteria; Pseudomonadati; Pseudomonadota; Gammaproteobacteria; Enterobacterales; Enterobacteriaceae.
GUUUGCACUUGUCGGGGAAGGGUGAGAACCUUCGAUUAAGGUUCGACUUGAGCGAAAGCGAGAGAACGUUGCCAACGGCAACGGCCCGUA